Microplitis demolitor is the source of this 1005-nucleotide long non-coding RNA. RefSeq lists it as uncharacterized. Lineage: Eukaryota; Metazoa; Arthropoda; Insecta; Hymenoptera; Braconidae. The transcript is spliced from 5 exons. The record is from RefSeq and is a predicted model, not a curated record.
AUUACAAUUAAGUGGCCGUUGAUAAGAAAUUUCAAUUAAUUUAAAAAAAAAAAUAAUUAAUUGAAUUAUUUCAAUGGAUAAAAAUAAAUUACGACCUGACUUGCAGGGAAUUAUAAAUAAAUUUGUUGAUCUGAGUGUUGAACAUUGUGCGCUAAAAAAAAAUCUAAAUGCUCAAGAAGAAAUCGUUAAUUUGUUUAAUAUGAAUGCGAAUAAAGCGCAGGAGAGAUUAGAUAAAUUAAUUCCUGCUGUGGAGAAAUAUUAUGAAAAUAAAGAGAGACAAGUGCGAGAUCUUAAAAGACAGAUAAGAAAUCUUGAAGAUGAAAAAGAAAUAAUUCAAUGCGACAAAACAAUAAUUGAAGAAAAACAUCGAGAAGAAAUGGAAAAUUUAAAUAAAAAAUAUCAAAAUGAAUUAAUGAAUUUAAAAAAAAAAUAUGAUGAAGAAAUAAAUGAACUUAAAAUUCUUAUUGAUUCGCAAAAAAUUACGAUAAAAAAAUUAACAGAAGAAAUAAAAAAAAAUGGUGACUUUGUUCACCCGGCUUUGUAUGAAACAAUUACGGGUGGUAAUAAAAAAAGGCCGAAAAAUAAGAAAAAAACUGCUCAAGUAUUUGACUGGCCUAGUCUUGAUAUUGAACUGUCGCAGUCUAAUAAAAAUGAUGAAACGGUUGUUGAGAAAAAAAAAAGAAGACUUUAUACGCCCAGCGAAGAAGCGGUUGUUGAUCUUGAUUAAAAUAUUUAUUUACAAUCAAUUAUAUCAGUGUAAUCAAAUUUGAUAGCUAUUUUAUCAAGUAUUUAGUAAUUUUUUAAAUUAAAUUAAAUUUAUAUAUUAAUUUUUUUUUAUUCAAGUAUAAAAAGUACAAAUUUGUUAGGUGAGUAAUUACUUUGGUCCAUACCAUUGUCCAUUAAUUAAAAUAAAAAUCUAAACUAAUUAUUAUUUAUAAAAAUAUAAUUAAAAAUUAUUUACAAUUAUUUUUAAUUAACAUUAAUUAUUAAUAAAAAUUCUACAUU